GUGUGUGUGUAUGUAACAAAAGCAGACUAGGCUACCAUUCUGCUUGAGAAUUAAGUGUUCUAUUUCAAUUCGUUGUCCCCAGACCCUGAAGUCUACUAUCCGUCACAGAGCCACAUAAUAUCUGGGCAUAGCAUAGCAAAAUAGAAAAUCUUCACUUUUCAGAAAGGGAAACUGAGGCCCAAGGAAAGACAAAGACCUGCCCAGGUGAUGGAACCUGCCUAUAUCAGAUUCUGAGUUUGAACCAUCGUCUUCAGCAACCAUUCCAACAUUCGUUAGGGAGAGGUGCUUGCCAACCUACCCAGGUGAAUCGCAUGUGGAGCUGUGUUGGACAACAUUGGACUAGGAGGAAUCAGAUAAGAGAGAAGAUGUGAAACCUUUGGAUCCCCCCAAACAACGAAGACAGAGUGAUACUGGCUGAGCAGGUACCUACUGAGGCUUCAGCUUUAGGAUCAGAACUUCAGAGCCCCAAGUGCCACCCCCCUUCCUUCUAGACUGGAAGCUCUGGUAUGAGAACUUGAAGGCUUAAGACUUUGACUCUAGUUUCAGGACAUGCCCUGUGGGAGGCAGGCCAUUGGUGCUGUAAUCAAGUAUUUGCUUCCUGGUAAGGAGGUAUUGGUCCAAUCUGAAGCCAACAUGUCCUGAGCAUCACUUCCCCCAACCCCACCCCUGCAGAGGAAGGAAUAAACUAGGGGCUGAAGGUGCAGUUGGAAAGUUCUAGUAACUGAGCAUCUAAAAAGACAGAACAGGCAUAUGUAAAGCCCCAUGAAAGGUAAAGGGAUGAGAAUCAGGGACCAGGAAAUAAAGCCCAGAUUAGAGCUGGUCAGGGCUGAUUCCAGAAAGCUAGAGGUGACUUCCCAGGCCCUACUUCAUGGGAAGACUUUCCCAGGCUAAGAGUGGGACCUGGUGCUUGAGAAAGAGUAAACAACAUGGCUCAGGGCUCUCCAGGAGGCCAGAGCUGUUGGAGAGAUCAGCGAUGUAGCUCCAUGAUAAUGCACUUGCUUUGCAUGUAUAAAGCCUUGGGUUUGAUCAACAGAACUGCCACCCCGCAAGAAAUAUUCUGCUAGAUAACUUAGUGCCCUCUCAUGGGGUUUUCCUUUUCUUCCUCCCCUUUUUAAAAUUUUAAUUAUCUGUAUUUAUUUAUUGGAUAGAGAGACUGCAAGAAAUCAAGAGGGAAGGGAGUAAUAAAGAGGGAGAGAGAUAGAGAGACACCGGCAACACUGCUUCACUACUCACAAAGCUUUCCCCUUGCAGGUGGGGACUGGGGGAUUGAGUCCUUAUGCAUUGUAACGUGUGCUUAAUCAGGUGCACCACCUUCUGCCCCUUCCCCAUUUUUCUUAAUUUGUAUUCCUCUCACUGUAAUCCCACUCUUAAAGAGAAAUGGAGAAAUGAACUUCAGUUCCACAUACAUCAGGCUUCCCCAGCCUACAGAGCUGUGAACUGAGAGAAAGCAGCAGAUUGGAGCCUCUGCCAUCCCUGACCACCCUCCUGAGACAUAAGGUAGUGCGACUCGAGACACCCAUCUGUGGGGAAGGAGCCUAUGGGCACUGGGCUUUUUAUUCCAGGGGGCUGAGAGCCAUGAUGUUCCAAUUCACAAUGUCGAGAGCAUUAAGUGGGGAGACAUCCUUUGACACUCUGUGAGCUCAACAUGUAGGAUGUGAGUUUAAGGAGCACUUGAGUAAUGCAAUGUCACACAGUGCCUUUUUAUAAUAGCAUCAGAGUCAGCAAGCCGCUGUGAUUCUGCCUAUCUCAGAAGAUGGAUGUAUUUUAGAUAUUUUAGAUGUACAUGCACUUAAAGCUGUUUAUGUUGUGUGUGGGAUUUUUGGCGUGUACAUUUGUUUGCUGCUGAAUAUCUGCACGAAAUACUGUGUUUCUGCGUCUUUGCCUGCACUAAGGAACAUUUAUAAAUUUGUGGGUUCAUGUGUAUCCCAAGAUUGGAUAGGACUAGGAUUGAAGCAUAGUUGUGCUCAACUCCAGUGUGAAGAAGAGAUUCUGGCAAUCAUAUUAACUCAACUCUUUCACUUUACUGGCAAGGAAACCAAAGUCCUAGAAGUUAAAGUGACUUGUUCAAGGUCAUACAGACGAUCAAAGAUGAGACUAGAAUCCAGGACUGGAAAUUCACAGUCUGGGAAUUCUUCUGUAAUGUUCAAAUCAAUUACAUACUGGAGGAAAGGCAGGGCAAUGUUUGAAGGUUUUUUUUUUUUUUUUUCUCUUCCUCUGAUCAAUAUACUACCAAGGUCAAUCCUGAAUUAGCUAGAUAACCCCAAAUGUUAAAUUCUUAACAAUGACCAGACCUAGAAUUGAUUCUAUCUCUGUAAAUCCCAGUUAUGCUGAGGCCAUUGGAGAAUUUCAGAACACAUAUGAAGGUUUUGCUAUAGGCCUUUGUUUCUGAAGAAAAGUAUCUAAUAUAUAUAAGCUUGCAUUUGAGUUAAACAAUAAAAACAUCUGUUGUUUCUA
Long non-coding RNA from Erinaceus europaeus (western European hedgehog), 2454 nucleotides. RefSeq lists it as uncharacterized. The transcript is spliced from 3 exons. Lineage: Eukaryota; Metazoa; Chordata; Mammalia; Eulipotyphla; Erinaceidae. The record is from RefSeq and is a predicted model, not a curated record.